CAAAAAUAUUGAUAUUUUAUAUUGAUUACAAUAUAAAAUAUCAAUUAUUUUUAAUUAUUUUUAAAUCAAUUAUUUUUAAAUGUUCUUCAUCUAUAUAUCAGUCAAUAAAAGAUUACAGAAGUGCUAUGAUAUUUCAGGAGCUGCCAAAGUGAAGGAGCAGGAUGGAGCAUGAACGGGAGGAAAUGGAUGACUAGGAACUGCUUUCCUUAAGAAACAGAGACCAAGGAAGAAGAAAGGUUGUUUCUGGCAGAGAACAGCGAAUGGCAAGAAAGAGCAUGAGACUGGCACUGCAGAGCAGCACAGAAAGGCCCUCUGCUCUGCCAUUGCUGGCUUCUGGAUGCCACUGAAGAAUUUUAAUAGUCCCAAUUUCAGGCACAAUUUGUUUUUUUGUUGAAGUGUCAGACCUAUUUUAAUGGGGGCUAAAACCAUGCAGCCAGUCAGGUGCAAAACAGCUUAUGGGAAAUAUCAGGGAAUGUAGAAGAAUGGAGAUUGCAAUGACAGA
This 502-nucleotide long non-coding RNA is filed under the name Sus scrofa (pig). Its description in RNAcentral is "lncRNA (ENSSSCG00070007758.1)". The record is from RNAcentral. Lineage: Eukaryota; Metazoa; Chordata; Mammalia; Artiodactyla; Suidae.